Molecule: ribosomal RNA, 450 nt
Filed under: uncultured bacterium
Lineage: Bacteria
Description: bacterial SSU rRNA
Rfam family: Bacterial small subunit ribosomal RNA
Source: RNAcentral
GUGGGGAAUAUUGGACAAUGGGCGAAAGCCUGAUCCAGCCAUGCCGCGUGUGUGAAGAAGGUCUUCGGAUUGUAAAGCACUUUAAGUUGGGAGGAAGGGCAGUAAGUUAAUACCUUGCUGUUUUGACGUUACCGACAGAAUAAGCACCGGCUAACUUCGUGCCAGCAGCCGCGGUAAUACGAAGGGUGCAAGCGUUAAUCGGAAUUACUGGGCGUAAAGCGCGCGUAGGUGGUUUUGUAAGUUGGAGGUGAAAUCCCCGGGCUCAACCUGUGAACUGCCUCCAAAACUGCAUGACUAGAGGACGGUAGAGGGUAGUGGAAUUUCCUGUGUAGCGGUGAAAUGCGUAGAUAUAGGAAGGAACACCAGUGGCGAAGGCGACUACCUGGACUGAUACUGACACUGAGGUGCGAAAGCGUGGGGAGCAAACAGGAUUAGAUACCCGAGUAGUCC